Molecule: ribosomal RNA, 250 nt
Filed under: uncultured bacterium
Lineage: Bacteria
Description: partial 16S ribosomal RNA
Rfam family: Bacterial small subunit ribosomal RNA
Source: RNAcentral
GACGAACCGUGCGAACGUUAUUCGGAAUCAUUGGGCUUAAAGAGCGCGUAGGCGGCGAGGCAAGUGAGAGGUGAAAUCCUAUCGGCUCAACCGUGGAACAGCCUUUCAUACUGCCUUGCUCGAGGGAGGUAGGGGUCGAUGGAACUUCCGGUGGAGCGGUGAAAUGUGUUGAGAUCGGAAGGAACGCCAGUGGCGAAAGCGAUCGACUGGAUCUUUUCUGACGCUGAGGCGCGAAAGCUAGGGGAGCGAA